UUUUAGAUGGCUGAAAGCAAGCAUUGGUCUUUUAAACCAAUUUAUAGUAUAUUUGCAAUUACUUCUAUAAA
RNAcentral lists this transfer RNA (71 nucleotides) under Brachycerus muricatus. RNAcentral's name for it is "tRNA-Lys". It matches the Rfam family "tRNA". From Rfam's summary of the family: Transfer RNA (tRNA) molecules are approximately 80 nucleotides in length. Their secondary structure includes four short double-helical elements and three loops (D, anti-codon, and T loops). Lineage: Eukaryota; Metazoa; Arthropoda; Insecta; Coleoptera; Brachyceridae. The record is from RNAcentral.